This 369-nucleotide transfer-messenger RNA is filed under the name bacterium. It matches the Rfam family "transfer-messenger RNA". From Rfam's summary of the family: Bacterial tmRNA, also known as 10Sa RNA or SsrA, is named for its dual tRNA and mRNA-like properties. Its role is to liberate the mRNA from a stalled ribosome. To accomplish this part of the tmRNA is used as a reading frame that ends in a translation stop signal. The record is from RNAcentral.
GGGGCUGACAAAGCUUAGACGGAUUAUUAACAAUAUGCAUGCGAGUCGAUUCGUACCGUAAGUACUAUUCAUAAAUGCAGAUAAAACUGCUAGUAAGCACGUGGCUUUCAUGCCAGCUUACGCUUGGGCCUAGUUAAUAUUUAGGUCUGUCACCUCUGACGAGAUGCCAUAGUCUCUUGGUGAUAUCAUAUUCAUGGCAUUAAGGUGAAUUCGGCGACGUGAAUUUGCACGAAAAUUUAGUCAUGGCUUCGGCGGAGUUUUGUUUAUUCCAGCUUCUCGAGAUAGCCAAGAUAAAAGAAUAGACUAUGCUCGUAGAUUGCAUAUAUGGAGAUUUUUCGGACCCGGAGGCAGUAUCCGGCAGCUCCACCA